This 572-nucleotide unclassified non-coding RNA is filed under the name Hevea brasiliensis (rubber tree). Lineage: Eukaryota; Viridiplantae; Streptophyta; Magnoliopsida; Malpighiales; Euphorbiaceae. The record is from RNAcentral.
GGGAAUAGAAGGUGGAUCAGUUUGCUGAGUUGGCUCCUUUUUUUUCUUGCUCUUAUUUUUCUUCUUCUUCUUCUUAUCACUGAUGCUGUUUCGCCUCUCCGUUGCCUCCUUUUUCUUCUUCUCGUUGCCCCUUUCUUCCUGCUCCUCCAUGGCUCCUCCUUUUUCUUCUUCUUCAUAGAGGCUUUACUCCGCUUGCAUGUUCCCCUCCCUCUUGCUCCUCCGCUGCUUCAUUGCUUAUGCUUUUGCCCUCUAAAAGAAGUCUUCCACUGGUCAUUUCCACUUUCCAUCUCACCAUCGCAGUCUCUACCAUUGAAGUUCACUUUUGUCUUACUCCACUGCUUCUGACGCCAGGCGCUAGGCAUUAUCUAUUUAUGGGUUUGUGUUGUAAUUGAUUUUUGUUGUGGAUUUGUGGUUCUAAUUGAAAGGAUAAAUGGAUUUGUGACUGUGGAUAUUGGAUUUGUGGAUUUGUGGUUUCAGUUCUCUAAUUGUGGAUUUUUGUAAUUUGUUUUGUUUAUGUGAUUUCUUAUACAUGUGUUUUCGCAUUUGUUCUUGCAUUUUGGAUUGUGCUUUUG